Mustela erminea (ermine) is the source of this 396-nucleotide long non-coding RNA. RefSeq lists it as uncharacterized. NCBI's taxonomy places the organism in Eukaryota, Metazoa, Chordata, Mammalia, Carnivora, Mustelidae. The transcript is spliced from 3 exons. The record is from RefSeq and is a predicted model, not a curated record.
CACAGGACUUCCCCGUUUGCUGUUCGGUAACGGAAGUUUCAACGACUCAUUGGUUGUGACGAAGGUGGAGUCUCCUGGCUGUGUGGCCAGUAAAGGGCUAGAAUAAAGCGGGUUCCGCCUCUUCCUCGGGCGACUGAGUCCUUCCGUUGUCGUCGGUCAGUGCUCUACCUGUUUCUCCAGUGUUCUUCCACAUGCAUGAGAAACUUGGUUAAGGGGGCAGACAGACAUGUAACUAUAUAGUGAGGCUACAAAAGAUUCCAACAAAUAAUAUGAGAGCAGUAAUUAUUGCCCUGGCUAAAUGGAUCAAGUUAAUACCUGGAGAAAUGCCAUACAUUUUCUAUCUUGCAUCACCAUGAAUAAAAAAAUUCUCCUAGAAUCAAAUAACCACUUGGAGUC